UGAGUUCUUUCUUAUCCUUCAAAUUGGCUUCCAAUGCAUCCACAACAUGAACUCCAUUGUGCAGCUUUGAAAUACGAAGUCUUCCUUGAAGAUGCUGCAACUCCCUUAAUUCUCCAAUGCUAGACCCGGUAGAUUUCCCCACAACGAAAUCAGUUAAUGUUCUCAAACAUUUUAGUCUUCCAAUUUCCACCGGCAUCCCUUCUAUCUUUGUUCCACUGACAUCGAGUUCAAUGAGAGCAUAACAAUCUGACAGCAGUAACGUCUGCAAAUUGUAGAGAGUGCAAACUGCACCAGGUAAGCUUACAAUUGCCGUCUCGGAGAGAUCCAGGUAGCGUAGGUGAAUGAGAUUGCCCACAGAAUCAGGUACUUCAGCAACAUUUAGAUAACGCGACAAUGAUAAAACCCGUAAACGUUUCAGGGAUGGCAACAAAUCAUGUAGAAAC
This 443-nucleotide small RNA is filed under the name Malus domestica (apple). Its description in RNAcentral is "sRNA MD11G0057700". The record is from RNAcentral. Lineage: Eukaryota; Viridiplantae; Streptophyta; Magnoliopsida; Rosales; Rosaceae.